This 289-nucleotide ribosomal RNA is filed under the name uncultured bacterium. Its description in RNAcentral is "partial 16S ribosomal RNA". It matches the Rfam family "Bacterial small subunit ribosomal RNA", at positions 773 to 1060 of the family's 1533-position model. The record is from RNAcentral.
GUGGAUUAGAUACCCUGGUCGUCCACGCCCUAAACGAUGUCUACUAGUUGUCGGGUCUUAAUUGACUUGGUAACGCAGCUAACGCGUGAAGUAGACCGCCUGGGGAGUACGGUCGCAAGAUUAAAACUCAAAGGAAUUGACGGGGACCCGCACAAGCGGUGGAUGAUGUGGAUUAAUUCGAUGCAACGCGAAAAACCUUACCUACCCUUGACAUGUCAGGAAUCCUGGAGAGAUCUAGGAGUGCCCGAAAGGGAGCCUGAACACAGGUGCUGCAUGGUUGUCGACAGCU